Molecule: long non-coding RNA, 612 nt
Filed under: Phoenix dactylifera (date palm)
Lineage: Eukaryota; Viridiplantae; Streptophyta; Magnoliopsida; Arecales; Arecaceae
Description: long non-coding RNA (PDAC_LNC015667)
Source: RNAcentral
AGAGAGAGAGAGAGAGAGGAGGGAUUUGGUUGGCUUGAUACACGCCUGAAGCCACUCUAAUCUUUCAUCCCUUCUCUUGUUUGGUUUUGGUCUUGGUUUUCCUUCCCUCACAUUACUCCUGAUCCAGCUGGGCCAUCAGGAAGAAAGGGGGAGUGGAAAUGGACUUCCUGGAGGGUGGAGAUUCUUUUAAUUUUCUCCUCUCAGUUUCUUCUCCCCUCCUGGGUGGUAGAGAGAGAAGGAGGGAGGGGGUUGAAUGGCUGCCGUGUUGUGAUGUUGCGGUUGUUGCUUGGGUACUCACUUGAAGGGGAGAUGGUGGGAUGGGGACUUUUAUUAAUUAGAUGGAGUCAAUUUUCCAUAAUGCCCCUACUUUCUCUUAUAGAGAGGCUCAUUCUUUACCUUGACCAUGAAGUGCCAUGGGAUGGCCUUUUCCUAUUCAGCUCUUGCUUGACAUGAUAAACAAUAUUGCCAAGCAUUAUCUCAGUUAUUUAAUCAGUUUCAUGGCCUUAUUUUAGGAUAAUUAUUUUUCUGCACUUCCAUUCAAAAAUAAUAUUAAAUUAAAAAAAUUUCUUGCCUAUCUUUAUUAGAUUCAUGUAUCUUUAUUGAAAUAGUGUA